RNAcentral lists this long non-coding RNA (1050 nucleotides) under Equus asinus (donkey). RNAcentral's name for it is "lncRNA (ENSEASG00005031907.1)". Lineage: Eukaryota; Metazoa; Chordata; Mammalia; Perissodactyla; Equidae. The record is from RNAcentral.
CUAGAAGUCUUCUAUGAAUCUUAAAAUGAAGGUGACAGAUGACUUUACAAUUGAACUAUUUUAUUUCUUUACCUACUUAUUUACUCAAUUAUUUAAUAACUGCUUCCUCCCAUUUAGUAUAAGUGAUAUUUGCACCAGGUUGAGUUGCUGGUUGGUCUAUGCUGGAGGUACCUCUGGGAGCACCAAGACACUACUAACCAAUCACAUUGAGAGCAACUGGAACCUCUCUCCAGGCAUGAGAAAACACUAAGAAAGGUCCCAGGAGGCCCAUGCUGGGCUUCAGUGUCUGCCUUGACUAGCUGAUGCUUCACGGAACUUUACCACUCUCCAAGCCACAUCUAAGAAGAGCCUUCUACACACCAAGCUUACUGAACGAGGAAUGUUAUUCCAAUAGAUAGUCUCACCAGGAGUUUGUGAAUGUUUCCAUCUCAAGGGACCUUCUCAGUGACCUACAGUAUCACUCCGUGUUGUACAGAUAUUUGAUCAUUAAACUUCUACCUCACCCAACCGAAGAAUCUCUGACACAGAUCUUACUUUCAGGAGCCCUGUUUGAGCAACUCUAAGCUGAGAUGAGAACAGUCUUGCUGCAAAUGAACUUCGUCUCUGAGCUCUUUUUGUUGAUGUCUAGAGUGAGAGUUUCUAGAAUCUAUCUGUGGGAUCUAUAUUAAGUUAUAGUUUGUAUCAAAUGGCAUGAUAGUCUUUACCAAGCAAGAGGGCAGUGGAGUGUUUUUGUGGUUCUUUAUGGGCACUGAAAUAUUUACUAACCAUGUUGGUUUUAUUAAGUAAUUGGAGAUACAGACAAAUCAACACCUCGGGGAAAUCUACCUGACUCAAAACAUUUCAGUCAGUUUCCUGGUCACUGCUGAGCCGAAGAAUUCAUUGGGAGUGAAUGCCAGAGUUGAGGGUUGUUCUGAAGACCCUGAACAGAGCAGGAAACAGCCUGGAGAGCCAUGUACAACUGGGCAGAGAGGAAAUGACAGGAGACAGGUUGGGUUGACUGUCUUAGGCAAGAACAUAUUGGAACGGCGUUGAACAACAUGAAGAGGGAAU